CUUGAGCGAGCCGAGCCAGAGGGGCCGGUCGGCGGGGCGUUCCCGGCCGUAGGUGGCGAUGAUCGCCUGCGCCUC
Molecule: non-coding RNA, 75 nt
Organism: Salinispora tropica CNB-440
Lineage: Bacteria; Bacillati; Actinomycetota; Actinomycetes; Micromonosporales; Micromonosporaceae
Rfam family: ASpks TB sRNA
Source: Rfam